RNAcentral lists this unclassified non-coding RNA (371 nucleotides) under soil metagenome. RNAcentral describes it as "partial contains 5.8S ribosomal RNA, internal transcribed spacer 2, and large subunit ribosomal RNA". The stretch from base 1 to 120 matches the Rfam family "5.8S ribosomal RNA", at positions 35 to 154 of the family's 154-position model. The record is from RNAcentral.
GAUGAAGAACGUAGCGAAAUGCGAUAAGUAAUGUGAAUUGCAGAAUCCAGUGAAUCAUCGAAUCUUUGAACGCACAUUGCGCCCGCCAGCAUUCUGGCGGGCAUGCCUGUCCGAGCGUCAUUUCAACCCUCAAGCACUGCUUGGCGUUGGGGCGCUACGCGCUGAGCGUAGGCCCCUAAAAUCAGUGGCGGACCCGCUGUGGCUCCGGGCGUAGUAGCAACACCUCGCCCUGGGAGCCGCUGGCUGGGUCAGCCGUAAAACCCCCGACAUAGGCCUUCCUGCCCGCCCCCGGCGGGGAGGGAGACCGCCUAAUGUUGACCUCGGAUCAGGUAGGACUACCCGCUGAACUUAAGCAUAUCAUAAGCGGAGGA